RNAcentral lists this long non-coding RNA (701 nucleotides) under Rattus norvegicus (Norway rat). RNAcentral describes it as "long non-coding RNA NONRATT000140". The record is from RNAcentral. Lineage: Eukaryota; Metazoa; Chordata; Mammalia; Rodentia; Muridae.
GGCGUUGCCGGGACUGGAGAAUGGCGGCCACCAAGCCUGCGUUAGUAAGAGGCUUAGUAAGUUCUCUGCAGACUCUGAGCCAGUCCUGUAAUCCUUUGUUUUUUCUGGGUGCUAUAGCCGCCCGGCAUUCCUGGGUGGCUUGCUCGUAAACGAGCUGUUCUAUGAGCGGUGCUGCUUGCUCCGCAUCACCAAAUAUUCGUCUAGCAGUUUCUGUCAUUCUGGCUACGAAGUCUGAGAACGGUUCCUGAGGUCCUUGGAUGAUACGACACCGUUUCCAGAGCCGUGAUCACAGACUGUGAGGAUCCCAUGAGGGACCAAGAACGCCCAGCGGCUUAUCUACGUCCGUCUGACAAGACUUCUGAAUCCUCCUUGUCACCAAGGGGUCUCCGGAGGUGCUGAUGAGGUCUUUUUCCAGGGUUUCUGGCACCAAAUGUCCCACGCUACGUCUCGCCAGCAAGAAUGACGCAGGACACAAAGGAUUCUUCUGCAGAAAUAGCUUUAAUGCAUCUUGAGAGCGAGAGCACAAGCUUACAAUACGGAGACCCCGAGUGAGGGAAAGACCGUCCCUUAUAUAGGAAACUAUCCUCGCCUCGGACGUGUCACUCUCUGGCUGGUCGCUGCCAGAUGUGCCAGAUGACGUACCACAGCAUACGUGUCCCCCUGAGUGAGGAAUUUACCAGGCGCUUGCGUAUUGCCCUUUU